GACGAACCACACAAACGUUAUUCGGAAUUACUGGGCUUAAAGGGUGCGUAGGCGGCGCGGAAAGUUGGGUGUGAAAUCCCUCGGCUCAACCGAGGAACUGCGCCCAAAACUACCGUGCUCGAGGGAGAUAGAGGUGAGCGGAACUUAGGGUGGAGCGGUGAAAUGCGUUGAUAUCCUAAGGAACACCCGUGGCGAAAGCGGCUCACUGGGUCUUCUCUGACGCUGAGGCACGAAAGCCAGGGGAGCGAACGGG
Molecule: ribosomal RNA, 253 nt
Filed under: uncultured bacterium
Lineage: Bacteria
Description: partial 16S ribosomal RNA
Rfam family: Bacterial small subunit ribosomal RNA
Source: RNAcentral